UGGCUUGUAGCUCAGUGGUAGAGCAGUCGGCUGUUAACCGACUUGUCGUGGGUUCGAUUCCCACCUUGCCAG
Molecule: transfer RNA, 72 nt
Filed under: Bacteriophage sp.
Description: tRNA-Asn
Rfam family: tRNA
About the family: Transfer RNA (tRNA) molecules are approximately 80 nucleotides in length. Their secondary structure includes four short double-helical elements and three loops (D, anti-codon, and T loops).
Source: RNAcentral